GAUGAACGCUAGCGGCAGGCUUAACACAUGCAAGUCGAGGGGUAUGCUUCUUCGGAAGCAGAGACCGGCGCACGGGUGCGUAACGCGUAUGCAAUCUACCUUUUACAGAGGGAUAGCCCAGAGAAAUUUGGAUUAAUACCUCAUAGUAUUAUAGAAUGGCAUCAUUUUAUAAUUAAAGUCACAACGGUAAAAGAUGAGCAUGCGUCCCAUUAGCUAGNGGUAAGGUAACGGCUUACCAAGGCUACGAUGGGUAGGGGUCCUGAGAGGGAGAUCCCCCACACUGGUACUGAGACACGGACCAGACUCCGUACGGGAGGCAGCAGUGAGGAAUAUUGGACAAUGGGCGCAAGCCUGAUCCAGCCA
This 363-nucleotide ribosomal RNA is filed under the name uncultured bacterium. Its description in RNAcentral is "bacterial SSU rRNA". It matches the Rfam family "Bacterial small subunit ribosomal RNA", at positions 28 to 394 of the family's 1533-position model. The record is from RNAcentral.